GAUGAACGCUGGCGGCGUGCCUAAUACAUGCAAGUCGAGCGAACAGAUGAGGAGCUUGCUCCUCUGACGUUAGCGGCGGACGGGUGAGUAACACGUGGAUAACCUACCUAUAAGACUGGGAUAACUUCGGGAAACCGGAGCUAAUACCGGAUAAUAUAUUGAACCGCAUGGUUCAAUAGUGAAAGACGGUUUUGCUGUCACUUAUAGAUGGAUCCGCGCCGCAUUAGCUAGUUGGUAAGGUAACGGCUUACCAAGGCAACGAUGCGUAGCCGACCUGAGAGGGGGAGUCGGCAAACUGGAACGUAGACACGGGCCAGACACCUACGGGGGGGAGCAGGGGGGAAAAUUGCACAAAGGGGGAAAACCUUACAGAGCCAUGCCGCGGGGGGGAAGAAGGUUUUUGGAUUGUAAAAACUUUUAAGUUGGGAGAAAAAAAAGGGAUAAAAAACCUUGCUGGUUUGGAGUGAACAAAAUAAGAAACCCCGGCUAACUUCGUG
This 497-nucleotide ribosomal RNA is filed under the name uncultured bacterium. RNAcentral describes it as "partial 16S ribosomal RNA". It matches the Rfam family "Bacterial small subunit ribosomal RNA", at positions 28 to 507 of the family's 1533-position model. The record is from RNAcentral.